GACGAACGCUGGCGGCGUGCUUAACACAUGCAAGUCGAACGGAAAGGCCCUGCUUUUGUGGGGUGCUCGAGUGGCGAACGGGUGAGUAACACGUGAGUAACCUGCCCUUGACUUUGGGAUAACUUCAGGAAACUGGGGCUAAUACCGGAUAGGAGCUCCUGCUGCAUGGUGGGGGUUGGAAAGUUUCGGCGGUUGGGGAUGGACUCGCGGCUUAUCAGCUUGUUGGUGGGGUAGUGGCUUACCAAGGCUUUGACGGGUAGCCGGCCUGAGAGGGUGACCGGCCACAUUGGGACUGAGAUACGGCCCAGACUCCUACGGGAGGCAGCAGUGGGGAAUAUUGCACAAUGGGCGGAAGCCUGAUGCAGCAACGCCGCGUGCGGGAUGACGGCCUUCGGGUUGUAAACCGCUUUCGCCUGUGACGAAGCGUGAGUGACGGUAAUGGGUAAAGAAGCACCGGCUAACUACGUGCCAGCAGCCGCGGUGAUACGUAGGGUGCGAGCGUUGUCCGGAUUUAUUGGGCGUAAAGGGCUCGUAGGUGGUUGAUCGCGUCGGAAGUGUAAUCUUGGGGCUUAACCCUGAGCGUGCUUUCGAUACGGGUUGACUUGAGGAAGGUUGGGGAGAAUGGAAUUCCUGGUGGAGCGGUGGAAUGCGCAGAUAUCAGGAGGAACACCAGUGGCGAAGGCGGUUCUCUGGGCCUUUCCUGACGCUGAGGAGCGAAAGCGUGGGGAGCGAACAGGCUUAGAUACCCUGGUAGUCCACGCUGUAAACGGUGGGUACUAGGUGUGGGGUCCAUUCCACGGGUUCCGUGCCGUAGCUAACGCUUUAAGUACCCCGCCUGGGGAGUACGGCCGCAAGGCUAAAACUCAAAGGAAUUGACGGGGCCCCGCACAAGCGGCGGAGCAUGCGGAUUAAUUCGAUGCAACGCGUAGAACCUUACCUGGGUUUGACAUGGAUCGGGAGUGCUCAGAGAUGGGUGUGCCUCUUUUGGGGUCGGUUCACAGGUGGUGCAUGGCUGUCGUCAGCUCGUGUCGUGAGAUGUUGGGUUAAGUCCCGCAACGAGCGCAACCCUUGUUCACUGUUGCCAGCACGUUAUGGUGGGGACUCAGUGGAGACCGCCGGGGUCAACUCGGAGGAAGGUGGGGAUGACGUCAAGUCAUCAUGCCCCUUAUGUCCAGGGCUUCACGCAUGCUACAAUGGCUGGUACAGAGAGUGGCGAGCCUGUGAGGGUGAGCGAAUCUCGGAAAGCCGGUCUCAGUUCGGAUUGGGGUCUGCAACUCGACCUCAUGAAGUCGGAGUCGCUAGUAAUCGCAAAUCAGCAACGCUGCGGUGAAUACGUUCCCGGG
RNAcentral lists this ribosomal RNA (1343 nucleotides) under uncultured bacterium. Its description in RNAcentral is "16S ribosomal RNA". It matches the Rfam family "Bacterial small subunit ribosomal RNA", at positions 28 to 1378 of the family's 1533-position model. The record is from RNAcentral.